UGGGGAAUUUUGGACAAUGGGCGAAAGCCUGAUCCAGCAAUGCCGCGUGUGUGAAGAAGGCCUUCGGGUUGUAAAGCACUUUUGUCCGGAAAGAAAUCCUUGGCUCUAAUACAGUCGGGGGAUGACGGUACCGGAAGAAUAAGCACCGGCUAACUACGUGCCAGCAGCCGCGGUAAUACGUAGGGUGCAAGCGUUAAUCGGAAUUACUGGGCGUAAAGCGUGCGCAGGCGGUUUGCUAAGACCGAUGUGAAAUCCCCGGGCUCAACCUGGGAACUGCAUUGGUGACUGGCAGGCUAGAGUAUGGCAGAGGGGGGUAGAAUUCCACGUGUAGCAGUGAAAUGCGUAGAGAUGUGGAGGAAUACCGAUGGCGAAGGCAGCCCCCUGGGCCAAUACUGACGCUCAUGCACGAAAAGCGUGGGGGAGCAAAACAGGAUUAGAUACCCUGGUAGUCCACGCCCUAAAACGAUGUCAACUAGUUGUUGGGGAUUCAUUUCCUUAGUAACGUAGCUAACGCGUGAAGUUGACCGCCUGGGGAGUACGGUCGCAAGAUUAAAAACUUAAAUGAAUUGACGGGGUCAUAGCUGUUUCCU
Molecule: ribosomal RNA, 590 nt
Filed under: uncultured bacterium
Lineage: Bacteria
Description: partial 16S ribosomal RNA
Rfam family: Bacterial small subunit ribosomal RNA
Source: RNAcentral